RNAcentral lists this ribosomal RNA (441 nucleotides) under Capnocytophaga sp. oral taxon 329. Its description in RNAcentral is "bacterial SSU rRNA". It matches the Rfam family "Bacterial small subunit ribosomal RNA", at positions 28 to 474 of the family's 1533-position model. The record is from RNAcentral. Lineage: Bacteria; Pseudomonadati; Bacteroidota; Flavobacteriia; Flavobacteriales; Flavobacteriaceae.
GAUGAACGCUAGCGGCAAGCCUAACACAUGCAAGUCGAGGGAGGAGCCUUCGGGCUUCGACCGGCGUACGGGUGCGUAACGCGUAUACAAUCUGCCUUUCACAUAGGGAUAGCCCGAAGAAAUUUGGAUUAAUACCUAAUGGUAUAUAGGAGUGGCAUCACCUUUAUAUUAAAGCUGAGGCGGUGAAAGAUGAGUAUGCGUUCUAUUAGCUAGUUGGAGAGGUAACGGCUCCCCAAGGCGACGAUAGAUAGGGGUUCUGAGAGGGAUAUCCCCCACACUGGUACUGAGAUACGGACCAGACUCCUACGGGAGGCAGCAGUGAGGAAUAUUGGACAAUGGUCGGAAGACUGAUCCAGCCAUGCCGCGUGCAGGAAGACGGCCUUAUGGGUUGUAAACUGCUUUUGCAGGGGAAGAAUAAGGAGUACGUGUACUUUGAUGACG